GAUUUUUGGAAAGUGGAGGAUAUUUUCGCGAAGCGGCCACGUUUCCAAAGCGGGGGGAUUUUUGAAAGCUUCCUUCUGGCCUUUCUGGAUGUUUGCACGGACCCUCGUGUCCACCUGCUGACGACACUCGCUCAGGCCCAAGUGGACUUUUAAAGUGUGGCAACAACAGCAGCAGACUCAGUGCUGACAGACAUUUCUUUAUGGCUGAAUCAUUUUUCCUUCUUAAUGAUGCUCGAUUCCCACAAAUAAAAAAC
This is a long non-coding RNA of Astatotilapia calliptera (eastern happy), 254 nucleotides long. The record is from Ensembl. Lineage: Eukaryota; Metazoa; Chordata; Actinopteri; Cichliformes; Cichlidae.